This is a long non-coding RNA of Homo sapiens (human), 19840 nucleotides long. RefSeq lists it as uncharacterized. The transcript has 4 exons. NCBI's taxonomy places the organism in Eukaryota, Metazoa, Chordata, Mammalia, Primates, Hominidae. The record is from RefSeq and is a predicted model, not a curated record.
CUCCAGCCUUGUUAACAGAGGAAGCCACUGUCUCAAACAAACAAACAAAGUAUUAUAGUUAACAGCUUAUUAUAGAAACUGUAUAAAAAGAAGCUUAUUUUGAUAGAAAGAUGAUGCAAAAGAUUAUAAUAGUUUAUGUAUUAUAAUGAGGGAUAUAGCAGUGUUACACAAGAGAAAUAAAAGAGAAUACAUAUUAUGAGUUCAGUUGUGGGCAAAAAUAAUAUAAAGAACUUUAAUGGAAAAAGACUUUAACUGGGGCUUUACCAUUUAAGAAUGGUGGGUAGAAUUUGGAUAUAUAAAGAUGUUUCUACCAUGAACAAAUAAUAUUUAUAGAGAGACAAAGAUAAAAAAGGUCCAGUCUUUUUUAGGAUGCAAAAGGUGAUCAUUUUGAUUAUUGCAAAGGAAUCAUGUAAAUAAGAUAGACGGUAAGAAUAAACAGUUAAAUUUGGGUCAUAUUUUUGAAUUUCCUAGUAAAAUAUUAAAGAGAUGGUAGUUCUAGCUUCUCUCACAAAUACAAAAUAUGUGUCUGUAAAAAAAAAUUCUAUUUUAAUGACCUUUUCAGGUUAAAAUCAUACAAAAGAGACAAUGUGGGAGAUGGAGCAGAUUUACCUAAAUAAAUUAUGUUAUUAUGACAUUCUGUAUCCUUAUCAUGUUACAUGUAUUACAUUAGACUACCUGUUUUAAUGGCUUAAGUCAUGGUUUAUUUUCCCAGACUGUCAUAUAUCAAACACUUAGAAAAUGUUUAAUUAAUAAAUAAAUAUUUCUGGCUUUGGAAUAUAAAGUUGAUUACAAUAUGGGUUUUGAAUCUUAUAAGUAAGCUUACAUUAAAACAAAUUAUCAGUGUUAACUGGAACUUUGUUUUGGGAGUAUCAAACAAGUUUUUAAAAUCAUUUAUCUGGGAUGAUAAUAUGGUUUAGCUGUGUCCCCACCCAAAUCUCAUCUUGAAUUGUAACUCCCAUGUGUUGUGGAAAGGACCUAGUGGGAGGUGAUUGAACUAUGGGGACAGGCCUUUCUUGAGCUGUUCUUGUGAUAGUGAAUGAGUCUCAUGAGAUCUGAUGGUUUUAAAAAUGGGAGUUUCCCUGCACAAGCUCUCUCUUUGCCUGCCGCCAUCCAUGUUAAGAGGUGACUUGCUCUGCCUUACCUUCCACUGUGAUUGUGAGGCCUCCCCAACCAUGUGGAACUGUAAGUCGAUUAAACCUCUUUGUUUUGUAAAUUGCCCAGUCUUGGAUAUGUCUUUAUCAGCAGCAUGAAAACAGACUAGUACAGAUGAAUAGCAUUAUCUUAAAGAAAAAUGUUUAAAAAAUGAUAAAACCCAUCCCAUAAAUCUAUUAAAUUCUAGGAGUUUCUGAAGGUAGCUUGGCAAGCCUGUGAGGCAAUAUCUAUGUUCAUAUCUGUCUGCAUCAUCAAGUGUCCAGCUAAGUUAUUUUUUAAUUUAAAUGUUUUUUUUCAUGGAAAUACAAAACAAUAUGUGCUUCUUUCACAACUGGGGUUUGGAAACAGCCAAAUGAUCCGGACUGAAGGUCAGGCCUGGUUAUCUAUGCAGGUAUUCAGGGUUAAAUGCAGGUGUGCCUACGGAAGGAGUAAAAGCAGUGACAGAUAGCCUGGAUGUCGGUGAUCUAGGAGAGGAAUGUAAUUCCAGAAAAGAAUGAACCUAACAGAAAAGCAAUUAAACAGGGAUGGAAUAAUAAUUAAAAUGCAGUUAUCAUAAACCAUAAUGGUAGUAUAAUACCAACGUAUCAGUAUAGACAGGAGAAAGGCAGGUAAGCCUUUAGAAGUUAAUGCGUCAGAAAAUGUCAGAUUAGUGGCAUCUGAAAUUAUGCCAACAGGUUUGAGAAAACCCUCGAGGUGUGACCAUAGUCCAAAUACUGGGUUAGAGAAUUACUCAGGUUGAGUAUCUUUCAUUGAUCUUAACUGUGGUGAGUAUUGGUCCCAUAACAUGGGUUGAGUGAGCUUCCAGGAUGGCCUAACGUUGAUUGAUCUAAUGAAACAGUCAAAGAGGGAUAAUAAUAUACUGAAUCUACCUUGACGUGCCUUCUCAAAGUCACCAUUGUAAACAUCAGUUAUUCUACUUUGCUGUAUGUGAUGUUCAGUAAUUACUUUGUGACGUGUUAGUGUCCCAUGCCCUUCAGUCUGGAGAACAGAGCCCAUACUAUGUAGUAAAAUGGAGAGCAUGUAAAUCUCAGAACUAGUUAGCCUGUAGGAAGAACUAAAAAGCCACACAGGGGCCAUGAAGCAAUCCAAAGAAUAGCAACAGGAAGAUGUUACUAUCUUCCCUUGGGCUAUAAGGAUCAAAGAAAGAUACUUUUACCAGGGCUCACAGCCAUGAAGGCAGAUGCUGUCCAGGGAGAUGUAGAGACAUGGAAAAGACAUAGCUAAGAACACAAAUGGUAUUCCACACCAGUAGUACCCAAUGAGCUAUAAGGGACAUCCCUGCUCUGAGCUUGAUCUCUUAUUAAAAUACAUUUAUUAAAGUAUGAAAUUUAAACUAUAUAUUUUUUAGUUUCUUUGAGGUACUAUGCUUAUACCUUCUAAAAUAUAAUGGGUAUGAAGUGCAAAAUCGUAAUUAUUUUUUGUUGUGAAAACAAGACUCCAAGUAUACAAUGGAUAAAUUACUCCAUUUAAAUUUAACAUUGACUAAACAUGUUAGUCAAUUAUAUCUAUCUGUGUCAGAAUAAAAAAUCAGUCAGUUUGUCAUUAUGUUUAUCAAAACCAAUAAUUUGUUUAAAAUGUGAACUUGUGGAAGGUCAUCAAGACAAGGUAAAUUAAACAGAAAAACAUAAUAUCUUUUUCUCUUUAGCCUUUGAAACUUCUUGCCCAAUACGUUUUAAGCAAUUUACCAUUUGACAGAUUUCAGGUUUGAUGGAUUUUAUUUAUAAUUUUACUGGACAGGGUGAGAAAAGAAACUGCUUUUAAAAAAAGGCCAGAAUAUAGAGAAAUUUAUUUGUCCCACUGUUAAAGAGCUUUACAAGGGAAAUUUUUCAUUUCAGUGUUUGAAAAUCUUAUUGGGUUUCUUACUUUAGAUAAUUACUUCUUCAAAUAAAUUUUGCCCACUAAUUUCCUCUGGGACUUAACUUGCCCACUUGUCAUUCAGUAUAUUCCUAGAGAGUAACUUGUUUUGUGUUUUCUGAAAUCCAUUCCAAUUGUUAAUUCUGAUGUGAAAUCAAGAUAGCUCUCCUUUGAGAUUUCAAUUUAUUUAAAUUUCUUUUACUAAAAUUUUCUCUCUUUAUAUAGGCUGGCCACAUUUUUCAAAUAUUUGUCUUCUAAAUUACUGUAUUAACUUUCUACCUUUUAAAAUCUAUUAUAAAAACAGUAUCUUUUGUAUUUUUCCAGGAAGAAAUUAUUAUUUUUUAAUACAUUUUACUUCAUUUCUCAAUGGCUUUUUUUCUCCAGCAUGUCUUAGAGAGUUUUAGGCUAUUUCUCCAUGUGUAGCUGAAGAAUACUUACCUUAUUUUAAAGAUUCAGAAACAACACUAGACUCUAUAAUAAAAGAAAUGAUUUAUCACUCCCUGUCCAGGAAACAUCAUUAUUUUAUUUUUCUGGCUUUUGUAUCUUGUGAAAAGAUAACAACUUUAAGUUGGUUUGGUAAUGAUGCAUAUAUCGUAUUUUUUUUCUCCCUAUGACACAUUAGACUGAAGAUGAUAUGACUUUGACACUCAUUCAGCUGAAUUUCAUCUGAAAUGCUUUCCACAACUGAACAAUAUCAAGCAUUUGGCUCAUUUCCUGAUAUCAUUAAACAGCAAACUCAUUGCCGACUACAUUUAACUCAUUUUGUUGAUUUUCUUUUGUAAAGACAUAUAGAUUCAGGUUAUUUUAAGCUGGAUUUCCUUUCUUGUGUAUUUUUCUUUCCAGAGGUACUGAAUUUUGCUCACUUGAGAAACACAUGCAUCUGUGUGUUCAUGUGCGUGCACAUAAACACACAGACACAUACAAACAAGUAAGCCCUGAUAUCUCAUACAAUUUUGAGACGUAGAAUUCUUUUCAAUUGAAUUCCAUUUUAGUGGCCAGCUAAUUAAAUGCUACUAUCUGCUAUUUCAGGUUUAAGAGCUUUUAAAAAAAAUCAGAAGAAUCAUAUUUUUCAAACGAUAUCUGAUACAGAAGUUUGAUGUAAGGAAUGAGAAUAUUUUGAUUUAAAAGUGAGUGUAGGGCCAAAACUCCACAUUGUUGUACUUUCCAUUCUAUGCAGAAGCCUCUGAAGAUUGUAUAAUACAAGGAAGUAUUUUUCCUGGCAGUCCUUUCUAAGUGAAACAAUUCUGAGUGUGAUUGGUGGGAAUACAUUCUACAUGUUUAGAAUUCACCUAUAAUAGGAAAUGAGGAACUUCUCAUGGGUUAUCAGUGUUACAUUAGCUUAUUUUGGCAUUUUUCAUUUAUCAGCUCUGUCAGGAAUGUUUCCUAUCUAUUUCUCUGUUCUUAAUUUUCCCUUAGACCUUACCCACUAGCUCAACCAGAAAACUGAUCCACAGAGCUAGACACCCUAUGAGUGGAGUCACUGCUUCCCCUUUGUCCAUUCUCUGUCAUAUGAAGUAGGCUUCAUACAGACAAACAUACAGGGUUGUUUUAUCCACUAGGUAGAAAAGAGUCAGGGAUCAAUAAUCCCAGAUUAGAAAGGUGAGGAUAGGAAUGACCCAGCCUAUCCUUAUUUUAGGGAUUCAGACAGGGAUAUCCAGAUGUAUUGUCAUGGUGUCAUAUUUAUGAAUGGAUUCUUCUUCUAGAAAACAUAAUGCAGGCUUGCUCUCAGCACUAUAAUAUUUGACAGAGGAAAAUAAAAAUUGGAGGAAGUAGGCAUGAUAUUUAUGUAAAUUAUAUAAAUUCUUGUGUUACCUCCUAUCCUUAUUUCCUGCCUUCCCACAGCCCAGAAUAUUUCAGCAAGAUGUCUAAUGGUGACUGACAUUUAUUUCCAUACGUAUUAAAUUUUAAUACAAGUUCACUUAAUCAUGCAAACUAUGUCUUCAGUCUCUUAUUAUCCCUCUUGUUUUACUGAAUCGCCAGUAAAAUGGAUUGCUUGAUCAGCUGAAAAGCAGGGGGUACAAAAUAAAAUAACAUUUUAUUUUAUAGGCCUCUAACAGAGUUUGAGGCAUUUGUCUCACUUGCCAGCUAUGCAAAUCCAUGUUGAGAAUAAGCAUUCGUUCUGGUCAAGAUCCACCAGUAUCUACUUGAAGCUAUGGUUAAUGGGCCUAAAAUAUAUAUUUAAUAGCUGUGUGCUGGCCUUAAUUCUCUUGGUCCACAGCCCAUAGUUACCUUUAAUCUCUGAUGCUCUGUUAAAAAACAGAAACAUUUGAUAGUCACAUUUCAAGGUUCUAAAUGGAAUAAUAAGAUAAGGCUCAUAUCACUAUUCCUGCUAAAACCAUGUAACUGCAUAAAAAUAAGAAAAAAUUUUACAAAUUCAAAUUGAGGACGUUUUACAAAAUAGCUGGCCAGUGACCUUCAAAAGUGUCAAGGUCCUUGUAAUGGACUGAAAAUUUGUGUCCUUCCCCUCCAAAUUUAUAUAUCGAAGCCCUCCCCACCAGUGUAAGUUAUUGGGAGAUGGGGCCUUUGUGAGGAAAUUAGGUUUAGAUGAGGUCAUGAGGGCAUAAUCCCCGAAUGGAGUUAGUGUCCUUCAUUUUUUUUUUUUUUUUUUGAGAUGGAGUCUCACUCUGUCGCCUCGGCUGGAGUGCAGUGGAGCAAUUUCGGUUCACUGCAACCUCCGCCUCCUGAGUUCAAGCGAUUCUCCUGCCUCAUCCUCCUGAGUAGUUGGGACUACAGGUGCGUGCCACCACGCCCAGCUAGUUUUUGUAUUUUUAGUAGAGACAGGGUUUCACCAUGUUGGCCACGAUAGUCUCAAUCUCUUGACCUCAUGAUCUGCACUCCUUGGCCUCCCAAAGUGCGAGAUUACAGGUGUGAGCCACUAUGCCUGGCCUAGUGUCCUUCUAAGAAGAGGAAAAGAGAUUACAGCUCUCCCUCUUCACCAUGUAAUGACACAGUGAGGAGACAGGCAGCGGCAAGCCAGAAGGAGAGCUCUUACUAGGAACCAAAUUGCCUGGCACCUUGAUCUUGGACUUCCUAGCCUCCAGAACUGAGAGGUAAGUGUCAAUUGGUUAAGCUAUCCAGUCUAUGGUAUUUUGUUUUAUCAGCCUGAGCAGACUUCACACAGCCCUGAAAGCAAAAGAAGACUGAAGAACUGUCAAAUAUUAGAAAAGACAAAGGAGACAGGACAACUAAAUUCAACAGGGGUUUGGAGAGUCAAUCCUGUCUGAGGAGGAACAGUCAUAUGCAGGCCAAGUGCAAGAUGUUGAAUGAUGUCAUCAAUGAGUUAAUAUUACUGUAUUGAUGCUAUUUUCCUUGUUUACAAAAAUUGUUUUAUGUUUGCCUAAAAUAGGAAACAGCUAAAAAGGAGAGGAGAAUAUACUGGAAUGUACUGUGGAAACUCACAGAACUAAAAGUAUUAGGGAAGUUGAGGAUGGGUUAUGAAAACUCUCUUUAAUGUAUCUAUAAUUUUUCUGUAAAAAAUUAUCUCAAAGUAACAGGCUGAAACAAAGAAUGAAUGGGUAAGACUUCCACAUUUAAAUAGGAAAAAAAUUAAUUUUAAAUGAAAAAACUUCUGCUGGCAUCAUUACCAUUUAACAUUAUUUCAAAAGCUGUAAAUAAUGCAAUUUAGACAGAAAAACGAAGAGGCCUAACUAUUAGCACAAAAAAAACUUACAAAUUUUACAAGUGAUAUAGUCACAUAUUUUGCAUGCUUUAAAAAGUCAACUGAAAACUGCUAAAAUUAUAUGUAUCAUAUAAGCAAUAAUAUACCUAGUUAUAGGAGGAACACACUCAUGUAGGCUCAAGUAGAGCAUGCAACAAAUACAUUAGAGUAGUAUUCUCAUAUAGUUUGUAUUAGGUUGGUGCAAAAGCAAUUGCUGUUUUUGCCAUUACAUUUAAAUUGCAAAAACCUCAAUUACAUUUGCACCAACCUAAUAGAUUGGCACUUUUUGUUGUAACAAGCCAUAAGUGCUGGCAUGUGACCGUGACCCUGGCUUAAUGAAACUAAGGGUUCUGUUCCUAAUAUAUGGCAAACACACACACACACACACACACACACACACACACACACACACACACAGAGAGAGAGAGAGAGAGAGAGAGAGAGAGAGAGAGAACAACAUAAACCAGAUAAGGAUCAGAGCUUGAAAUGAAGCCAGUUCUAUGAAUCCCAAGUCUUUUUAUCUAGGGCUUUAAAGAGAAUAUAAACUUUUCCUCCUCCAAAAUUGCAUAGAUUACACAAUAGGUGCUUGAAUAUGGUAGUCGUAGUGGCAGGGGAUGGAGCCUAUGCCUGGAGUCACAACUACAGGCUCCCAUUUACCAAGAUUAAUCUAACUACUGUUACUGCCAAAUAUCUAACCUGACAUCAAUAGAAAUCAAUGAUAAGUUGCUGAUAUAACAUUAUUAACAAGAGAAACAAACCACAUAGUAGCAAAUUGGUACUAUAUCCUUUCUACUCUACACAAGGUAGUAAUUAAUUCAUUCUGACAAUAACCAACUCUUUUCACUGCAUGUCUUUGCAUUUCCUGUGCAUAGGGCACAUGCACAUGAACUCACAAAAUGUUCGAUCCACCAACACAGCACAAUAUAUUAAAAUACACCACAUCUUAAUAGCACAGAAGUUGCAGAAAUUAAUGCAUGAGAAUGGGAUGUGUUGGUCCUAUCAUAUACCAUAUAUGGAAUCACCCAGAAAUUAGCAGCAUACAGCAAUAAAGCAGUGGAAGAACAGCCUGACGAAGUUGCAGUGCAGGUGCCAGUUUUGAGAUGAUGCCCAUGAAGAUGAGUUGUCAUCUGACAUGAAACCACUCUAAAUUAAUAACCAUUAUACAGUCUGCAAGCUCAUUGUAUAAAAUAUAGCAAGGGUUAGAAACAGAUAUGGCUCCCAUUACCCUCACCCAAUGACCCCCAUGGGGAAUUUUUCCCUCAACUUGAGUCUCUGUUGAUUUAAUGGUUCUCUUUCCAGAAAAGAGAACACUUCUACCAGAGGAAACAAAAGUCAGUAAACUUUAAGCUAAAUCUGCUGCCCAGGAACUUUUGUUUUCUCUCUACAAAAAGUCAUCAGGUAAAAAGUAGACUACCUAUUCUAGCAAGGGCAAUUGGACCUGAUCUGCAGGUUGAGAUAGAACGGCUGUUAUGUAAUGAGAUAAGCAGGUAUUUGUUUGGUACUCAGAUGUGUCACCUGUCCAACUCUUAGAUUUUUCUUGUACAGUUUUAAGUAAUUUUUGUUGAAUUGUGUUGAAUUUAUAGACCAAAUUGGGGAGAAUUGAUAUGGUAUACAUCUCUGUCUACGGAGGUCUUUGAUUUCUUUCAUCAGAAUUUGUAACAUUCAGCAUAAAUAUCAUGCACAUAUUUUGUUUAGGUUUAUACCUAAAUGCCCCAUUUUGGGGGGGUGUUAUAAGUAGUAUUUGUGUUUGAUUUCAAAUUUCACUGUGAGCAUUUCUCAUAUAUAGGAAUAUAAUUGACUUACUGUGUAUUGGUCUUGAAUACUCUGACCUUGGUAAAUUAUUUAUUACGUUCAUCCUGUUUGGUGUCCUCUCACAUUAUUGGAUUUGGGGUUUAGCGUCUGCCACUAAUUUUGAAAAAAAUAAUGUUUGCUUUCGUGAUCAUUUAUUCAAGUAUUUCUUCUUCCACUUUCUCCCUUUAUUUUCCUGCUGAAUUACAAUUUUGAUUAUGUUAUGUCAUUCCAUAUUGUCUACAGGCAAUUCUUGGAAGUGUGAUUACUGUGUUUGUACUUUUUUUUCUAUUUACCACUACUUUUCUCAGCAUUCUUCAUUUCUGUUAUAAUGUUUUUGACUUCUAGCAUUUUCAUUAAUUCUUUUUUAUAAUUUUCAUCUCUCUCCUGAAAUUAUCUUUCUGAUCUUGUGUGCUGUGAAUGUUUUCCAAUAGAAACUUUAACAUGUCAUUCAUAGUUAUGUGAAACUUCUUGUGGAUAAUUCAUAUGCCUGGGUCACAUCCAAAUUGAGUUCUAGUAAUUUCUUUGUUCUUUUCAGACUCUGUUGUUUACUUACCUUUCAGUAUGCCUAAUAAAUGCUUGUUAAAAGCCAGAUGUGUUGUAUAGGACAAUAGAUUUAAGUAAUUUUUAUUCUUAAAGAUUAGCAUAACUUCUCUUGUCCUAGGUGUUAAUAUUUUAAAUAUUUUUAAUACUACAUCUAUCUAUCUAUCUAUCUAUCUAUCUAUCUAUCUAUCUAUCUAUCUAUCUAUCUAUCACAUUUAUUAACUGAUCAGUACCUGUUUGCCCUGUACUGUCCUUGGGAAUAAGUUAGGAUUAUUGAACAUAUCCCCUGAAUAUAAAAGAAGUUACACACACAAGAUCUUACUCAAGGAGCUCCCAUUCUGUUUAGAGAAACAGACCUGAAUGAAAUAAUUUCAGAAUAUUUACAAAAUGUUCUUCCACUAUCUUUAUGUAAAUAACAAAUUCUGAAGAGAAAACCAUAUAAGUGAGCUGGAAUAGUGAGAAAUGUCCUCACCUUUAGAAUACAUAGCCACCAGAAUCAGGGGAUAGGUUUCUAUUAGGUGGGGAGAUCUAGAACUUCAAGCCUGUAUUUCUGCUUUGUGAAUUUUAGGCUGUUGGGAUUGUCAGACUCACAGAUCUCAUUCAUAUUAGGGCACUAGAGCCUAGAAUGUGUUUCUAAAAACCACAUUUCUUAAACAUCACUCAGUUUAUAAAAAUUAUUUUUAAGGUUCCAUAUGCUAACUGCUGAAUCCUUUGACAUGGACUUUGAAUACUCCCUAUAAAGAAAUUUGCCACAUUCAAAAGUGGAUAUGUAAUUAAGAUAUUUCAAAUGCUAACUACUUGUGCAGUUAAAAUUAAUUUUGUUAUAAAAAUUAUCAAAAAUUUGAAAAUUUCAGCUAAAGGUGAAUGGCACGUUCUUUCAAUGUCAUAUAUGUAUGAAGGCCAUCCAAGUAUUUAUCAAGGGCAGAAGCUGACAAAUAUUUUCUGUAAAGAGCCAAAUAGCAAGUUCCUUUCCCAAUAAAACUUUAUUUGUUAUAGUAAAACAGAAAUCAGGCUGGUUUCAGCCUGAAGCUUGUAUUUACUCACUCUUGAUCCAGGCAUGGGCACUUUUGUGUCUUACUAUUUAACAUUGAUUAAAUUUCCCAGAAUUUUGAUGUUACAUGUUAACUUUUAGAGGUUGUCUGGUAUAGAUGAAAAUAAUUUAUUUCCAGUAUAAAUAAUAACUCCCCAAAAUACAAUUUAUUACACUGCAGGAAAUUAACCAGUUGUGUAUAUAAUACAAUAUAUACCAAGCUUCCCAAAUAUAUUAUUAUCCAACAAUUUAUAUGGAAUAUUUCAAAAUAACCACAGACAAAACAAAUAGCAUGCAAAUUAAAAGAGUGUGAUACUCUAAAUCAAGGAAUUAUUGAUAUCUGGUUUACUAUUCCCUAGCAGCCAAAAUAAAACAUUUAUUUCAUCUUGAUUUCUCUUCCAAGGUUAAUUGUAUUACUGACUUGUGCUUUGAUUUUGAUGAAGGAAGUUUGAUAUGCACCUCUCCAAAACUGUUCAAACAAUCCAUGUAUCAGAUAGAAAAGCAACUGAGAGUUGAGUGUUGUUGUAGGGAAUAGUGGAAAACCUUUCAUAAUCAAAGACAGAAAUUUAUCUCUGUCUCUGUCUCUUUCAUACACACACACACACACACACACAGAGAAAUAUACACAAAAAUCACAUAGAAAAAUGUGCAUUUUAUCAAUAGUUUACUAAUGUGAACUUUUCCUCCAACUCUCACGAUUUAAAUAUGAAUAGAAGCCAACACUUGAAUAAUAUCAACUACCCAUGGCAUCACUAAAUGCUGCUAAAAUGUUAUUUCUUUGAUUGCUAAAGAAAUUAAUGACCACCUUGAGUUGUAUUUUAAUAGCUGGCAUGUAUUUAAUAGCCUAAGAAAUAAUACUAUAACUGACACUAAUUUCUAUUGUUACAUUUAUUGCAAGGCUAAAAAUAAUGUUGCUAAGCAACAAUUUAAAAUAAAAGAAACUAAAAUGUAUUUUCCAUUCUAAAAACAUGAACAACUUGGCUAUACUAAAAACUUUUCAUUAAUUUAAUUGACCAGUUUUGUAACUGAUAACUGGAAGUCAUGAUAGAUUUCAUUCAAAUCCAAGAUUACCUGGACUGUUUUCAAAUCAUUUUUAUAGAAAAAACAAUAGUACAAUAGUUUAAAUAUAUAUAAUUGUAUUUGUUUAUUCAUUACUCCUCUGAGUGAACAUUAGUAUUCUACAGAGCUCUGGAGCAAUAUUGAGUAGUGGUCAUGGAGAUAUUUCAGCUCUACUUUCUUCUUUAAAGACUAUGCCUUUGUGCACAGCUCCCUUUCCUGAGGGACAAGGUGAUGUUGGCAGAGCAGCAGACAUGGAAAUCAUGUUGCAGUAACACAGAAAAUGAAGGAGUUCUUUGGGGAGAGACUGAAAGAAAACGUUGGGCUUAAUUACAGUUGAGUUAGAUACAACAAGGGAGAGGAAGGUUAAAAUAAAUAUUUGGUAUUGAUUCAUGGGUCAUUAUGAACAUUUCAAUACCUUUCAAUGAUACAAAAUUAUAGUUUUACAUAAAGAACAUUGCACAUAAGAAAUUAGUGUCCACAAAGCAAUCCAGACAGAAAUCAAUAUGUUUAAAGGUAUGUUGAAAAUAGAAUACUUAUACCCAUGAAAACAAAACAAAACAAAAACAAAAACAAAAUAAUCAGACUCUUGUAUUUUGUAUAAAGAUUUCAAAACAUGGGAGAAAUAGAUUGUUAUUACUGCAAAUAGCAAACCUUAUAUUACAUUUCUAUGUAGGUAAGUUAAAUGUUUAGAAAAAUGCUCAUGGAAUUGAUUAUGUUAAUAAGGGAACAUCUUAAGACUAAUUCAAAAAAUUUGGGAAUGCACAGGAAAUUGAACACACGACAGUGCUGAGAAAAGAGCCCAGAAUAGAAAGUAGUAUGACCUUAGGAAGUCAUGUGAGCACUAUGCUCCUUAGUUUGGUUCUCUGAAAAACAAAGAAGUUGAUUAAAGUAGUCAUUGGUAUGUUUUUUUUUUUUUCCAUCUUCCACCCUUUACUCCAUGCCAAUCACUAUCGCUUAAAUCAGUCUUAAAAUAGGCUGUCAUACACUGCCAUAGUUGCUUUAAUGAUUUAAUUUUAAUUUAAUAAUUUAAUUUUUGCAGUUAAAAAAUAUAUUGUAUUAUAUCUGUCUGAUGAUACCGCAACAUAUUGCAUUGUAUCUCUCUCUUCCUGUAUGUCUUAAAAAAUUUUGUUAAACAUAAGAAAAGUUAAACCUAAGAAGAAAUAUCCUCUCCAUAAGUAAUAUUUUGUUUCCUGUUCUAAAAGCAAAGUAAAAUACAAUUUUAAUGAAAAAUUUCCAGCACCAACAAUUAGAGAAAAUAUCUGUUUCCAACAUUCAUAAUAGCAAACCUUAAGAUAUUUCCUUCAGAUCAAAAUGUUUAAAGAUGAAUUCCAGUUUAAAGCCCUUAACCUAUGAACCUACUAUUUCCCACCCUGUGAGGCAUCUUUCAUUAGAGAAAGCCAUUAUCCCAAAAUUGGAGUGUAUCCUCUGCCUCUAUGCUUGUUACUCUCCUAUGCUGAGUUUUAACACAAAUUUUAUUAUGGGCUUUUUGAAUUAUUUUAAAACUUAAUGUAACUGUCAUUAUGCUAUAUCAUUCUUCAACUUGAUACUUUUAAGUCACAUUUUUGCAAUGAAUCUAUGGUAAAACAUAUAACUUCUAAAAUGACCAUAUAGUUCAUUACAAUUUCUUAUGUAAAUAUAAUAUGUUAUACUUCCUUGUGUAAAUAUAGUACAUUAUAUUUCCUUGUCUAAAUAUAGCACACUUUUCCCAUUUGUUACCUAUUGUUUCCAUUUCAUUUAGCAUUGAUGACAUUCAUGAACAAUUGUUUUCAGAAAUUAUGAACCAAUGUAAAACCAUGUAUAUUUAUAGAAUUCGCUACACUAAUAACAUAAUAAUCAAAGGACCAUGUCUUUCCUCAGUUCUUCUAGGUAUCGAUAAAUUGCUUUCCAAAACUGCUGGACUAAUGAACACUUCCCACAUUUGUGUAUGAAACUCUCUGUUUCUCUACAAUAUACUAACCAUUUAGUAUUGAUUUUUCACUGAUUUCAUUAAGUGUCACUAAAUGUCAAUAGAUGUGCAAUAGUAUGAUUUGUUCUUAAUUUGUAUUUACCUGGUUACUAGAGAGUUUGAGCUUCAUCCUUAAAUAUUUCAUGAGGUCCACCAAACAAUUCUUAAAGAUGAAAUACUAUCAAUAUUUCCAUUCAAGUUAGCAAUAAAAAGAAAUGCAAAUGCUCCUUUACUUAUGAGUGGAUUGCAUUCUGAUAAACUCAUUGUAAGCUGAAAAUAUUUUGAACUGAAAAUGCAUUUAAUACAUCUAACUUCCCAAACAUCAUAACCUAGCUCAUCUUAAACAUCUUCAGAAUACUUACAUUAGUCUCCAGUCAAGCAAAAAUCAUCCAAUACAAAGCCUAUUAUAUGAGAAAUUGCUGAAUAUUUCAUGUAAUUUAUUGAAUAGUGUACUAAAAAUAAAAAACAGAAUGGUUCUAUGGGUACUUGAAGUAACAGUAACAAAGUAACAGAUUUAAUAUUGCUUAGUAAUAGAUAAAAUUGCUAUGUGAUUUUAUACCUAGAAAAUUCAACAAAUAUGAGUAUUGUUGCUUAUAAUAUGUAAAAACACAUUUUAAAGAUAUGGUGACUAAAAGGUAUUUUUAGUGAAAGCAUAGCCAGAUAAUUAUAGACCUAUGAUGAUAGCAGACUUUAGUGUGUAUACAUUUGACAUUUAAAAUCAUUGAAAUAUGAUUCACUAUUCACAAAAUAAUAAUGAACCAAUUUGCUCAUCCAACUGAAAAACAAAAAUAAAACUAUAAUUUUCUUUCACUACAAAAAAACCGCAUUCAUUAAAUUUCCAAGUAAAAAUUUACACACAGACAAAAAACUGAAUUAAAACACAGUUAUGAUUUAUAUUAUUUUUUAAACAAUAAAAAAUAAAAUUCAGAGAGCUUGAAACAAAUGUUUUCAGGUCAUCUCUAAAUAUUUUAACAAUGUACAGGAAAAAACUAAGAGAAAUGUUUGAAACAUAUCAUUAUAAAAUGAUUAAUGUACACAGAAAAAAGAACUACCACAAGCAAGACAAUAGAUUAUUAAGUAGAGGAAUUGCACAAGCAAUUCACAGAAGAAGUAACUCAAAUGGCCUAUGAGCAUAUGAACAAUGCCAAAUACCUUUAGUAAUCAGUAAAAUGAAAUUAAAAUAACCAAAAUAUCUAAUAGUUUGCCCACCAUGUUAUCACUCUUCAUUUGUUAAUAUUACAUUUAACAGUAUGUGGGGAAAAUUAUACUUUCAUAAAGUUCUAUUAAUAUGUUGUGGAGGACAAUUUGAGAGCCCUCAGAACUUAAAUGUAAAUAUUCAAAAUUCAACAGUUUGAUUUCCUAUGGAAAUAUAUUUACAUUUAGACAAAAAGAUAUGUAGAAAUGUUUAAUUGCAUCUUUUACUGUAAUAAUAAACUAUUGGAUAUUAAUGUAAUUUUAUUAAUAGAAAAAUGGUUAAGUGAUUUAUGGCACAUCCAAUUCAAGCAGAUGUUAAAUGUGAUAUAGCUGUUAAGCAUAUUAAUCUUUAUUGUAGUGACCAAAAAAUAUGUUGAAAACACUCGUACUGAAUAAAACAAAUAUAAUGAGUAACAGUGGCUUUUUCUGAGAAAAGGACUGGAAUUAUGAAUAAUGCUUGGUGAGAGAGAUUUUGAACAUUCUACUCUGUACACUCAAUUUUUAGAAUAACUUUUAAUCUACCUUUGUAUUACAAUACAUGUACAUUAAAAUAGUCAGUUUCAAAAGAUAUAUCUGAAACUAUUCAUGAACAUUUAGAUAAAGUUAAUAUUAUCUUGCAACUCUGAUCUUGUGUAUAUUAUCUGAUAAUAUUAUUCAUGCAACCUGUAGGAAUCAAAAAUUCAACCCUGAUAACUUUUGACUCAUUAAUUUUAACUUUUUAUUUUGAGAUAUUGUAGAUACAUAAGCAGUUAUAAGAAAUAAUACAGAUAGAACUCAUAUGUCCUUCACCCCCAAUGGUAAUAUUUGCUUAGCAAUUGACUCAUUAAAUUUUAUAUGAAAAAAAUGCUUAGUGCAUUUCUUUACAGGAAAAAUACAUUUUCAAUUACUUUCUCAACUUAUAAAAUGACUUUGGAUUAAAAAUAGAGGUACAUAGAUUUAUGUCUUAGCUUUUGGUAAGGAUUUUUAUAUGUAUUCAAAUAUUGCAGGAAGAUAUUAUAUGAAACCAAUUUUCUUUAAUUCAAUAGUUACCAAAAUUUCAAUUGUGCACCACUAUUAAUAAAAAAUAUAUAAAAUGCAUAUAUGUGCUAGAGUACUAACAAUAGUUAAAUUACAGACAUAAAAUAGAAAAAUGAGAUGAAAAAUACAUUAACAUAUUUGGCAAAUACUGUUUAUUGUACCUAAAUAUGAUAUGAAUUUUAUUAAAAGUAUUAUUUUACGCUUUUUUAAUAUGCUUAAUUAUAUUUGAAAAUCUUGUUUUAUUCUUUUGAAAUAAAGCAGUUCAAACAUGCAUACCUGUUAGAAUUGGAAAAGGAAAAAGUGUCUCCACAAAACAAAAGCACCUUAUUUCUGUGUUUUUGAAUGUGUGUACAUGUGAGUACUUAAUUAUCAUCACAAAAAGAUGGAGGUUGAAGACAAAAAAAAAGAAGAGCAAAUUGAUAGAAUGAAGUCCCAGAGGAUGUAGAAGAAAGAAGGGUUCUGAUGCAUGAUUCUUGGCUAGGAGGAGCACUGCUUCACCUGAAAGAGAAGAAAGGGGAUUUUGAAAGACAGGUAGAUGUAGAUGUUGUGACUACUUCACUUUAGACAAAGUUUCUCAUCUUACUUGAGAAAAAAACAAAUGCUGGCUUUCAUCAGAUUUAAGCAGAAAAAGGGGAGUCCACUGAAUCUAUAGUUUAUCCAUUUUUUGCAACAGAAAUUUAAUUUAUAAAGUUUUAAUAGGCCAGAUGUUUAUGGCUUAUUGUAUUAUAAUUGUUUAUUGGUUCCAGCUCUUGUAAGCACGGUUACUUGAUGAGACCGAGAUCUUCAUAAUCUAUAUUCUAACGAACUAUGUGCUAACAACACUGAUGUCUAAACAGAACUGGAAGUUUAACAUUACAAGAUGAAGAUUUCACAUAUUCUUUUUUUUCUUUUUUUUUGGUCUGCUUAUAUACUCCUGUUUGCUUCAUUCGUCACAAGUUAGAUUCUUUGAAGGCACGUGUUGAAAGAUGUUUAUUAUGAACCAAAACCUGUGAAGGGAAGAGGAGGAAGCAGGAUUGUGCAGAGAAAGAAGUUCAAGAGUUGUGCAGGCUCAGCAAACCUCAAUCAACUUAGUGGGAAGCUCAAAAGUGAGAUUUCUCAUCCCAGAGUCCUGGUUUGGUUGGGAUGGCCAGGCCUUUAUAUCCCUGCUUCAUUUAGUCACUCCAUGUAAGCUGCCCUGGGAAGGACGUGACUUCUGCCAAUGCUGUAGCUGAGGAAGCCCUUAAGGAAGUAGCUACAGAGCUCUGUGAUUCUAUCUUUAGAGCAUAGACAGAGCAUAUCCACCAAUUGUUGACCUAUGAAGUGUUAUAUAUAUAUUGAAUAUGCCUAGUCAGGCUACAUCAAUUACAUUCCCUAGCUAAAUAUUAGAACUUUAUUUUGCUAUCGUUUGCACAUCGUGUCCUCCUCACCACCCCGUCUCCUACCUUUCAGUGCCAAAACCAAAAUAUGCCAAAUUAUUCCCUAAAUCACAUCAGGGCAUUUGACUCUCAAAAUUCAAGAAAAGGACAUACAGUCUUCUCUUUACAUCUGAGAUUGCCGCAUCCAUGGAUUCUGCCAAUUGCUGAUCAAAAAUAUUUUGGAAAAAAAUUUUACAAAAUUCCAAAAAACAGAACUUGAAUUUGCUGUGUGCUGAGUAUGACAUUGAAUUCAUGUGAUGAAGCAAUGUUGGGCAUUGCAUUAGCAGUUAUAAGUAACCUAGUGAUGAUCUGAAGUAUUCAGGAGGAUGUGUAUAGGUCAUAUGCAAGCACGACACCAUUUUAUAAAAGGGACUUGAGCAUCCAGAAAUGUUGGUAUCUGCAGGGGUUCUGGAACGAAUCUCUCAUGGAUACUGAGAGACAACUGUAUUCUCAUGACACAGAGGUAACUUUGGACUCAGCGAUUAAGUGAUGAGUCAGACAUAUUAACAAACCUGGACAGAAAACAUAAAAGCAGGACACCAUAUGGACCUAUAGAAUCAGGCACUCUUAGGGUCAACAGGGCAGAUGUGUGUCAAAACAUACAAACAAAAAGUUCCUCAGUUUGAUUGGAAUGACUAAGAAACCCCUAUUCCAUAAUAAGCUGUAUAUAAGUUAUGAAGAAGUAAGUUCUGAAAGUGUAAUUAAGCAUGGAGAUUUGGGACAGCUGAUAAAACAGAACAACCUGAUGGAGGUUAGUACAGUUGCCUUGACCUCUUUCCUGGUGGCACUUUUGGAAGGAGAUGAUUUUGCCUCCCAUAUGCCAUAAAAAAGCGCAUAUAGCAUAAAAAUAUAAUAUAGAAGUGAGAGUAAUAUGUACAAAGGAAUCCAAUCUGUGCCAGACAUGAAGUAACUUGACCAGGAAAAUGUCAGAAACAAGACUGGGAUGUAAAAGGUGAGUAAAGCUCUCAGGAUAAGGAUUUGUAUCUAUGCUCACCUUGGUUCUCUCUUGCACAUAUCAGGGCAUCAAUAAAUAUUUAUGAGAAGGAGUUACAAGGAAGUAGAACAGGUAACUAAGUUCAUGAAGAAGUGGAGGUAGCACUGACUGCAGGUACGUGGCAGCACCCAUCUGCUGUACCGAUGCCUGAUGGUGGAUUGGACAGAAAACGUGGGAGGCAAAAGUCAUCUCCUUCCAAAAGUGCCUCCGGGAAAGAGGCCAAGGCAACUUUGCCAGGACUACUCCUAACCUCCAUCAGCAGGCUCACCAGCACAUUGAGUUUCCUAGUUUAACAAGAAAGCAUCUGCAAAUGUGUAGCGAGAUGAUUGAACUACAUUUUAUGAUUUAAAAUAAACAUUGAAUAUUUCUAAUAAAAAAUGAAUUUAUAUAAUGUCUGUUAUGCAACCUUGGCCAAUUGUGUUUACUACACGUUUCCUUAAACAUGCCAGAACAGAAAUAUUUUCUGUAAACACUUAAUUACAGAAUAUUUUUGAAUUGACCCGAAUUUUCAGUAAAUUAAAUGUGAGUAAUCUAUGCAAUUUUUAAGAUUCAAAUGUUUUAUUUAGCUCUAAUUAUUUAGGCAGAAUAAACUUGAAAGUAACAAUUUAAUACAUUAAUUUUCUAUUUCAGAUUAUAAAUUCCUUGCUUACUCAUAGCAAAAAAUUUGAAACAUAAUUAUGUAAUAAUUGCCUUAAAUUUGUUCUUUAUUUUUCCUGUGUCAUCAGAGACUUGAUGUUAUUAUGGCAUUCUGUAACUAAAGUUAAAUAUUUUACUUUAACAGAAAACUCAUGUUAAUCCUCUUUUCCCAAAACAUCUUUCCAUAAACACAAAUUUUCUUCCCUUCCUCUUGUUUUGUCCUUUUCUUCUCUCAGAUUCUGUUUUUCUCUCUCUCUUAUACAAACACACACAGCUCACACACACACAAAGUCAUUUUGUUACUAUAUAGUAGAUGGAGUACUCAUUUUAAUUCCAGGGCAUAGCCUAUUGUAUUAGUCAGGGUUUUCUAAAGGUGCAGAAGUAAUAGGAUAGAUGUGUAUAUGAAGGGGAGUUUAUAAAGGAGUGCUGACUCACACAAUCCAAGGUGAAGUCCCACAAUAGACCACCUGCAAGCUGAGGAGCAAGAAAGCCAGUCCAAGUCCAAAAAACUCAAAAGUAGGGAAGCCAACAGUGCAGCCUUCAGUUUGUGGCUGAAGGCUUGAAAGCUCCUGGCAAACCACUGGUGUAAGUCCAAGAAUCCAAAAGCUGAAGAACCUGGAGUCUGAUGUUUGAGGGCGGGAAGCAUCCAGCAUGGGAGAAAGGUAAAAGCCUGAAGACUCAGAAACUCAAGUCCUUCCACAUUCUUCUGCCUGCUUUAUUCUAGCCACACUGGCAGCUGAUUAGAUGGUGCCCACCCAGAUUGAAGGUGGGUCUGCCUCUCCUAGUCCACUGACUCAAAUGUUAAUCUCCUUUGGCAACACCCUCAUAGACACACCCAGGAACAAUAUUUUGCAUCCUUCAAUCCAAUCAAGUUGACAACUCAAUAUUAACCAUCACACCUAUUAAUAACACUGGGUGCAUGUAUCAGGCAGCACCAUGUUAACUAAAGGCUUUGCUUUAAUCCCAUAAAGUCCUCACAGUAAUUCCAGGAGCAAACAUUAUUGUUCUUUUUUCACAGAUGAGGAAAAUAAAGCCCAGAGUGUUCCAGUGAUGGGCCUCGAUUCACUCAGCUUCAAGUCGGCCAGACUCCAAUGCGCAGGCUCAAUCAGUCAGACUUGGUAUUUGUCUUUCUGGAUCAUGCUGGGGUAUGAUUCUCAUUGCGGACAGAAUAACAACAAGAAGACCUUGAGAAUAAGCAUCAAUUUGUGAGCCCCAAGGGCGAAGAAGCUUUCCUGAAGCAACAACAGGAACAGGAAGCAAAAAGGAUUUGAAAUGAAAUAGCAAGGGUUGUGGAGGCUUGGAAGUCUAGGAUCAAUGUGCCAGCAACUGGCAUCUGGUGAGGCCCUUCUUGUUGCAUCCUCACAUGACAGAAGAAAGAAGGGCAAACGAGAUGAACUCUGUGUCUUCAUAUGGCAGGAGAGCAGAAGACAACAAAUCCACUCCUGUAAGCCCUUUUUAUUAAAGGCUUUUAUCUAUUUAUAGUGGUGGAAACUACAUAAUUUAAACACCUUCCAUUAAGCCUCACCUUCCAACACUGUUGCAUUGGGAAUUAGGUUUUCAACACAUGAAUUUUAGA